UAUCUCUGUAGAGUCUGCAUAUCAAUAAGCGGAGGAAAAGAAACUAACUAGGAUUCCCUCAGUAACGGCGAGUGAAGCGGGAAGAGCUCAAAUUUGAAAUCUUCAAGGUUUUACCUUGACGAAUUGUAGCUUAAAGAAGUGUUUUCUGUUGGUGUUUUGGUAAAAGUUCUUUGGAAUAGGACAUCAUAGAGGGUGAGAAUCCCGUAUUUGACCAUUUCUUCCAGCUGUGUGAUACACUUUCAAAGAGUCGGAUUGUUUGGGAAUGCAGUCCAAAAUGGGUGGUAAAUUUCAUCUAAAGCUAAAUAUUGGCGAGAGACCGAUAGCGAACAAGUACCGUGAGGGAAAGAUGAAAAGAACUUUGAAAAGAGAGUUAAACAGUACGUGAAAUUGUCAAAAGGGAAGCGUUUGACACCAGUGUUGUUUUCUCGAAAAUCAAUUAAAAAGUGUUGGAUUUUGUAUUGUUAAGACCUUAUCAGCUUACUGUACUUUUUUCCUGCUCUUUUUAAUGCACUUUUCGUUUAACAAGUCAACAUCAAUUUCUUUUGUUGUAAAAGAGUCAUUGGAAGGUGGCUUUCACUUCGGUGAAAGUGUUUAUAGCCUUUGGCUUCUGCAAUCGGAGAGAUUGAGGUCUGCAGCGUAAAUCCUUCGGGGUUAGAUACGUAGAUGCUAAGUUAUAGUUUUUUAUAGACAACUUGUUGACUAUAAUUAAUCAUGUAGCUUACUCGUUUGCGCUAUUUUACCUACGCUUAGGAUGUUGAUCUCUCACAGUCGAGC
RNAcentral lists this ribosomal RNA (774 nucleotides) under uncultured Neocallimastigales. RNAcentral describes it as "partial large subunit ribosomal RNA". It matches the Rfam family "Eukaryotic large subunit ribosomal RNA", at positions 24 to 645 of the family's 3401-position model. The record is from RNAcentral. Lineage: Eukaryota; Fungi; Neocallimastigomycota; Neocallimastigomycetes; Neocallimastigales.